CGUGGGUAACCUGCCCAAGAGACUGGGAUAACACCUGGAAACAGAUGCUAAUACCGGAUAACAACACUAGACGCAUGUCUAGAGUUUAAAAGAUGGUUCUGCUAUCACUCUUGGAUGGACCUACGGUGCAUUAGCUAGUUGGUAAGGUAACGGCUUACCAAGGGCAAUGAUGCAUAGCCGAGUUGAGAGACUGAUCGGCCACAUUGGGACUGAGACACGGCCCAAACUCCUACGGGAGGCAGCAG
This 245-nucleotide ribosomal RNA is filed under the name uncultured bacterium. RNAcentral's name for it is "partial 16S ribosomal RNA". It matches the Rfam family "Bacterial small subunit ribosomal RNA", at positions 116 to 354 of the family's 1533-position model. The record is from RNAcentral.